This is a long non-coding RNA of Triplophysa rosa, 417 nucleotides long. RefSeq lists it as uncharacterized. Lineage: Eukaryota; Metazoa; Chordata; Actinopteri; Cypriniformes; Nemacheilidae. The transcript is spliced from 3 exons. The record is from RefSeq and is a predicted model, not a curated record.
UGGGUAUUGAAGUCCGCUAGCCUAUACGAGCCGUAAAAACCCUGCUGUGUUGAGAAUUACUGUGUAUUGAGAUUUACAAGGGUCUAUAGAGCGACCGUUAUUUAUUGACCUGACACAUGACGAGGAGGCUGGCUCCAGCAGCGCGUCGAUAGAUCUUACCGCGUCUGAAGAGGAGGUUGGCUCCAGCAGAGCGGUUCCGGACUCCUCAUUAUUAAUCGAAAGGAGUUGUGAUCUUACCACGGGUGGUGACGCAGGCAGCCUAGUGCCAGAGCCGUCAUUAUUCAUCGGUAAACUAUGGCUAGCAUUUAACAUAGUUACGCCAUUGCGGUUUGGUGUCGUUCAUCUUUGUUUUUGCUAUGUUUACUCUAACAGAAAGGAGUUGCGGAUCCGGUGACGAUGUGUCUAACUGGACAGAUA